RNAcentral lists this ribosomal RNA (292 nucleotides) under uncultured bacterium. Its description in RNAcentral is "partial 16S ribosomal RNA". It matches the Rfam family "Bacterial small subunit ribosomal RNA", at positions 505 to 796 of the family's 1533-position model. The record is from RNAcentral.
GUGCCAGCCGCCGCGGUAAUACGUAGGGCGCAAGCGUUGUCCGGAAUUAUUGGGCGUAAAGAGCUCGUAGGCGGUUCGUCGCGUCUGCCGUGAAAGCCCGAGGCUCAACCUCGGGUCUGCGGUGGGUACGGGCGGACUAGAGUGUGGUAGGGGAGACUGGAAUUCCUGGUGUAGCGGUGGAAUGCGCAGAUAUCAGGAGGAACACCAAUGGCGAAGGCAGGUCUCUGGGCCACAACUGACGCUGAGGAGCGAAAGCGUGGGUAGCGAACAGGAUUAGAUACCCUUGUAGUCC